The submitters of this non-coding RNA (49 nucleotides) gave its source as unclassified sequences. The record is from Rfam.
CGGGGAUCAAGCAGCCUCCCUGCCGAAUGGCUCGCCAUCCAAGCGCUGC